GAGGGACCUGCGGCAUAUCCCAGGUGGUGGUUUGGGGACAAACUCCAUUUGAAACCUGUACGCGAGGAGACGACAGUGAGCGGUGGGACGCAGCGCUCCACCAAUCCUUGUUGCUCUCUCUGAUUGCCUGCUGACAGGCCCAUUUUCAUGCUGCAUGAUGGCCACUGCUUUCUAAAGGCUUCAGCAGGGCCAGGCUGAGAGCAACCUGAUGUGGCGCUUCUCAAGGAAGUCGUAAUAGAAUUUCAUGUGGAAGGUCAGUCCAUCGAUGUGGAGCACUCCAAUGUCCUUGAAGACAACGGCAACGUUCUCCCCAUUCUUCAGGCAGCCAGAGAGCAGGGACACGGUGCUUUGGAUGCAAGCCUGCGCUGUCUGCCAGGUCACAGAGGCAGCUGCGGCCACCUCGCUGCUCUUGAGCGGCUCCAGCUUCCUAUGGGCUGAAAAAUGGGAGGGACGGAGUUGAUGAUACGGUUGGUUUUCCGCAGUGCUUCCCUGGAACUGCUUCUUGUGGCCAUCAGCCAGAACGGCCCCAUGUUUGGCUGGGCUCCUCCGAGGGGGAGGUUUGCUUUGGAGAAUGGAGGCGGUGGCCCUGUUGGCCCUGUGCGUGAAGCCAGCAAAGCUUUAAUCCUCCCUCCUACCUGGCAGGGACUCCCUGCGGGGCUUGAGGUGGUGCACGGCUAUGAGGUUUCCAGACAAGUGAAAGACGGGCCACCGCAGAGUCACGGUCCCGUCCUCAGUCCUGAUGUCUCUGGAGAUGGUGUCAAAGGAUCCGAAGCACAGCAGUCAGGGCAGAAGCAGCCUGAUGGGAUCCAGAGGCUUCCCGCGAGCGGGAUCAGCCCUGAGACAGGACAGCGCCCAGCACAAGUGAUCCUGCGGGAUUUGCAGGAAGCCCAUGGCAUGCCCAGUAGAGACACGUGGGGUGAGUUUCCUGCUUUCUGUGGAGGGGAAGAGUGGGAGGAAGUCUUGGCUGAGGAGGACAGGGAGAGGAGGAACCCGGCAGCCAACCCACCUUCUGCACCA
Long non-coding RNA from Gallus gallus (chicken), 1017 nucleotides. RefSeq lists it as uncharacterized. Lineage: Eukaryota; Metazoa; Chordata; Aves; Galliformes; Phasianidae. The record is from RefSeq and is a predicted model, not a curated record. The transcript has 3 exons.